RNAcentral lists this ribosomal RNA (468 nucleotides) under uncultured bacterium. Its description in RNAcentral is "partial 16S ribosomal RNA". It matches the Rfam family "Bacterial small subunit ribosomal RNA", at positions 28 to 507 of the family's 1533-position model. The record is from RNAcentral.
GACGAACGCUGGCGGCGUGCUUAACACAUGCAAGUCGAACGGAAAGGCCCUGCUUGUGUGGGGUGCUCGAGUGGCGAACGGGUGAGUAACACGUGAGUAACCUGCCCUUUACUGUGGGAUAACUUCAGGAAACUGGGGCUAAUACCGGAGAGGAGCUCCUGCUGCAUGGUGGGGGUUGGAAAGUUUCGGCGGUUGGGGAUGGACUCGCGGCUUAUCAGCUUGUUGGUUGGGUAGUGGCUUACCAAGGCUUUGACGGGUAGCCGGCCUGAGCGGGUGACCGGCCACAUUGCGACUGAGAUACGGCCCAGACUCCUACGGGAGGCAGCAGUGGGGAAUAUUGCACAAUGGGCGGAAGCCUGAUGCAGCAACGCCGCGUGCGGGAUGACGGCCUUCGGGUUGUAAACCGCUUUCGCCUGUGACGAAGCGUGAGUGACGGUAAUGGGUAAAGAAGCACCGGCUAACUACGUG